Long non-coding RNA from Brachypodium distachyon (stiff brome), 685 nucleotides. RefSeq lists it as uncharacterized. The record is from RefSeq and is a predicted model, not a curated record. The transcript has 2 exons. NCBI's taxonomy places the organism in Eukaryota, Viridiplantae, Streptophyta, Magnoliopsida, Poales, Poaceae.
UUGUCUCUUCCGGUAGCCCUUCAGAGAUGGCCGGUGACGGCGCCCGCCUCCCCGUCGACCGGCCUCUUCUACAGGUUGAGGUUGGGUCAUUGGGACCCUCUCUGUUGCUAUUGCUUCAACCAACGAUGCCGCAAGUACGAGGAAGAAAACUUGUGAUUGGAGAUCAGGUUGUUUCCAGGGUUCCAGCGAUGGUGUAGACAAGAAGUGGCUCGGAGUUGUGAUCCUUUAUUUCUUCCAGCUACUGAGGCAAUGCACCUUCUUCAUGUGGAUGGAUUCGUACGUGGAAAAGCUUCAAUUGGAGGGGAAGUUGCAAGGGAGGGAAGAGGAGACACCGAGGGCAGACCUGAGGGCAGUGAGAAGGCAGCAUUGCUGUUUUUGAAGGAGAUGACUAGCAUGAAUGAGAAGCUUAGCAAGAUUGUGGAGUUGAGGAAAGAAGAACUUCAAGUGGCCAAAUUGUUUUAUGCUUGUAUUGUGAUGUUGGGUUUGAUUUUAGUGGGGUUUUGAUUUUAGUUGCAGCAGGGGACAAGGUGGGCUUUGCUGUUGCUUGGUGUUGCUGCUGUGAGGGCAAUGGCAAGAAGAUGUUGUUCAAUGGUUUAUUGUAGUAUUUGAGAAUAAGAACUAGAUCCAUGUAACAGAAUGGUGUAAUGCAGUACUUAAUGUCGGUUACAUAAUUCUGGAGUUCUAA